This 438-nucleotide ribosomal RNA is filed under the name uncultured bacterium. RNAcentral's name for it is "bacterial SSU rRNA". It matches the Rfam family "Bacterial small subunit ribosomal RNA", at positions 210 to 657 of the family's 1533-position model. The record is from RNAcentral.
CUUUUGCGGUGUGGGAUGGGCCCGCGGCCUAUCAGCUUGUUGGUGGGGUGAUGGCCUACCAAGGCGACGACGGGUAGCCGGCCUGAGAGGGUGUCCGGCCACACUGGGACUGAGAUACGGCCCCAGACUCCUACGGGAGGCAGCAGUGGGGAAUAUUGCACAAUGGGCGCAAGCCUGAUGCAGCGACGCCGCGUGGGGGAUGACGGCCUUCGGGUUGUAAACCUCUUUCAGCAGGGACGAAGGGUGACUGACGGUACCUGUAGAAGAAGCACCGGCCAACUACGUGCCAGCAGCCGCGGUAAUACGUAGGGUGACGAGCGUUGUCCGGAAUUACUGGGCGUAAAGAGCUCGUAGGUGGUUUGUCGCGUUGUUCGUGAAAAACUCACAGCUUAACUGUGGGCGUGCGGGCGAUACGGGCAGACUGGAGUACUGCAGGGG